UUUAAGUUUGAUUUUUUCUUAAAAAUUAAUUACUUAUGGGUAUUAUACGUUCUAUUUUUAAUUUUUUAUUUUUUCAGUAAUAAGUGUUUUAAUAUUGAUAUUUUCAAUUAAGCUACAUAUUUAUUUUAGAAAAAUAUUGUGCCAGCAUUCGCGGUUACACAAUAUAUAAAAAUUAAUUUUUUAAGUUUUAAUUAUUAUAUAAUGAAGUUAAAAUUUAUCUACUUAAGUGAAAUUUUUUUUUUAAAAUAUUCUUCUUUGUAAAAUUUACUAAAUCUCUUUUUAAACCAGGAUUAGAUACCCUGUUAUUUUUUAUUUAAUAUAUAAUACUUUAACAUUAUUAGUUAUUUUCUAUUAAAUUUGAAUAAUUUGGCGGUAAAUUUUUAUUAGGGGAACCUGUCCUAUAAUUGAUAAACCACGAUAGGUUUUACUUAAAUUUUAUUUGUAUACCUCUAUAUUUUAAGUAUUUUUUAAAGAAUAUACUUUUUUUAUUUUAAUAAUUUAUAUUAGGUCAAGGUGCAGUUAUUUUUUAAGUAAGUGUGGGUUACUAUAAAUUUUUAUAUUUAGGAUAUUUAAAUAUAAAUUUAAAUUGAAUUAGGAUUUAAUAGUAAUUUAAAAUAAUUAUUUUAUUUGAAUUUUUAUUAAAUUUAUGCACAUAUUGCCCGUCACUCUCAUUUUAGUUGAGAUAAGUCGUAACAAAGUAAUUGUACUGGAAAGUGUAAUUAGAAUCU
RNAcentral lists this non-coding RNA (728 nucleotides) under Empoascanara hongkongica. Lineage: Eukaryota; Metazoa; Arthropoda; Insecta; Hemiptera; Cicadellidae. The record is from RNAcentral.